AGCAGCCGCGGUAAUUCCAGCUCCAAUAGCGUAUAUUAAAGUUGUUGCAGUUAAAAAGCUCGUAGUUGAAUUUCGGGAUUAAAUUGUUGGUCGUGCUUCGGUACGCACUGGCAUUAUUGGUUCCUACCUUCUGAAGAACCGCGAUGUCAUUAACUUGGUGUCGUGGGGAAUCAGGACUGUUACUUUUGAAAAAUUAGAGUGUUUAAAGCAGGUGCACGCUUGAAUACAUUAGCAUGGAAUAAUGAAAUAGGACGUUUUGAUUCUAUUUUGUUGGUUUCUAGGAUCGACGUAAUGAUUAAUAGGGAUAGUUGGGGGCAUUAGUAUUCAAUUGUCAGAGGUGAAAUUCUUGGAUUUAUUGAAGACUAACUACUGCGAAAGCAUUUGCCAAGGAUGUUUUCAUUAAUCAAGAACGAAAGUUAGGGGAUCGAAGACGAUCAGAUACCGUCGUAGUCUUAACCAUAAACUAUGCCGACUAGGGAUCGGGAUGAUGUUAAUUUUUUAAUGUACUCAUUCGGCGCCU
Molecule: ribosomal RNA, 520 nt
Filed under: uncultured Glomus
Lineage: Eukaryota; Fungi; Glomeromycota; Glomeromycetes; Glomerales; Glomeraceae
Description: SSU rRNA
Rfam family: Eukaryotic small subunit ribosomal RNA
Source: RNAcentral